GUCAGCUGCAGCUCUCCCCGCUGUAGUAUUCGGUAUAUUAGCAGCAUUGCACCCGGCUCCUCCCCUGCCGGAGGCAGCGCUGCUAAUAUACAUUACAUGAACAUCAGGCAGCGCUGCGCUGGACAGUCUGUCCGUAGUCUGUGUGCUCUGGGUGCUGGAAGUCUCUCUCUCUCCCCCCCCCCGUAUGCUCUGCUCCGCCCCCCUUCUCCUGCUCUCCCUGCAGUGCACAGUACACAACUUCCAGGUACUAGAGAUGAGACGGCUGCAACUCCAUACAUCAAGUGUAGUAUCUCCCUCUCCCUCCCCUCGUGCAGGAAGGCUGCUGCUCCAUACUACAAGUAAAGUCCUCACCCUCCCCUCAUGCAGACUAUAAUGCAAGUGCUACAUAUAUAGAAGUGCAGUGUAGCCAUGGUGAGGGAUUUUGUCACUAGUCAGCACCGGCAUGUGACCGGCGUGAUGACGUCAUUCAAUGGGCGCCUGCGGCCAGGUGUUUGGUCCCGCCCCGGGAAGGCCGCUGUUGAUCACUGGAGGUCUUCUAUAUUUAAGCGCUUUACAGUGAACAGCGGCGUCUAGGUUGCUAUGGCAACCGACGGGCGCAGCAGCAGUGAGAUCAUCGCAUAGCGACCGGAAGUACAGCGGGAUCUCCGCGUCUCCGGUCACGCACUGAGCACUGGCGGGCUUCUCCUGGAUAAAAGACACCGGAUGCAGCGAUCCAGUCUGAAUUUCAUAACAAAUGGCGCGUCAUGGCUUUACGGUAGAUUAGAAGCCUUCUGCAAGCGUUAAUGGACCGCUAUCGCUACCGCAACUUCAAUCUGAAAGGACCACCACCCAGAAAAGGCAUCCAUCCCAUCGUAAAGCUUGAUGAAGAAGAUGACUGGGUCCCAAGGGUGCAGCUGGGAGAUUCCUGCAGCGUGUUCCGCAACGGCUAUUGGACAACGGAACGGCUCUUGGUGAUAACACCUCAAUCCUUUGUCACUUUCAAGUCGUGGAAGAAGUGAUUGAAUACCAUUGGACAACGGAACCGGCUCUUGGCGAUAACACCAAAAUCCUUAGGCGCUGUUAAGCCGUGGAAAAGGAGACUGAAUGCUGUAUUGAAAGAGAAACGGACAAUCACCACAGAGGCGUGAGGGUCCUGCAAGCAAAUAAUAAAAUCUUGCUGGAGCUACUCACCACCUUAGAUAUCCAGGUGGAAGCCGCCCUUUAUGAGUUGAUGGAGGACAGAGAAUAUGACCAGUAAAACAACAAUAGAACCGAAAUUCAUCAAACAUUAAUCAUUAUGUUUAUAAACUCACCUAUUAGGAAAGGUAGAAAAGUGGAAGGUUUCUGUAAUCUUCUAAUCGGAAAGGGCCGUAAUUCUGUGGAAUUGGUGCCUUUUUUGUUUAGAAGAUUACAGUAUAUAAUUAAAAUGAUUUUUGUUGUGAACUUUUGGUUAAGUCAUACUGGUCCUCUUGUCUCCUGUCUGUU
Molecule: long non-coding RNA, 1464 nt
Organism: Pseudophryne corroboree (corroboree frog)
Lineage: Eukaryota; Metazoa; Chordata; Amphibia; Anura; Myobatrachidae
Exons: 5
Source: RefSeq, a predicted model, not a curated record